This 356-nucleotide long non-coding RNA is filed under the name Calidris pygmaea (Spoon-billed sandpiper). RNAcentral's name for it is "lncRNA (ENSCPGG00000015801.1)". Lineage: Eukaryota; Metazoa; Chordata; Aves; Charadriiformes; Scolopacidae. The record is from RNAcentral.
GGCCGGGAGGCGGAGCCGGCUGCGCUGGCGGCUCUUGGGCGCUGGGGCGGCUACUGGCCACGGGGCGAGCGGGGGAGCCUCAGCGCCGCCGGGAGCCGCUCCGUCCCUCCCCGGGGAACCGCCGGAGCCUUGGAGGUUGUCCAGCCUGGAUCCCGGCGCUGGGGACCCGAAGCAAGGACCCUGACUUGAUGCACGCCGAGUACGAGCUGACUUCUUGAGGGGAAGGAGGAUUACUCCGAAGGCCUGUCCCCUCAAAGCAGGACGCAGGUAAGGGCAACAGCCCUCCUGAUGCUGAGGUUCUGCUGCUGCUGGGCUCUGGCCUCGCCGCGGAGGACACUCAGCAGAGGGGGGUUUUU